This 8522-nucleotide long non-coding RNA is filed under the name Malus domestica (apple). RNAcentral describes it as "long non-coding RNA (MDOM_LNC006623)". The record is from RNAcentral. Lineage: Eukaryota; Viridiplantae; Streptophyta; Magnoliopsida; Rosales; Rosaceae.
GUGACAGGGAGCAUGAACUAGAGGCCCAUUUUAGCGACCAGAUGCCCAAUUCCUCAUCUCUCCUAACUAGCGCCGUUUGAGAACCUUUCUCUCUCACUACCCACGAGCCCAGAGCCGUGAAAGCUAUCUCCUUCAUUUCCUCUCUCUCUUCGUUUCUCAUAGGACUGAAAUCCUAGCUUCUAUCUACAACCCAGAACGUCAAAACAUGAAUCCAGCUCCGUCUCUGUCAAAAAGGGAACCCAGCCAUGGCGAUCUUUGAUUCUAGCCCAGAUUGUCACCAUCGUGCAUUCCUCUACGAAACCCGAGGUAAAGAGCUCUCAUUCUCUCUGCGAUUAUGGUCUCCACUUGGCGAUAUCUGAAAUAAAAAUCCAUCCAACCAUUUUUCCCUUUCGUUUUCAUGACCGAAGAUGAAAUGAAAACGAAAUUCUGACUCAUGCAUGUAUGUUUUCUGUAUGCAGACUUGGGGAUCCGAGUAAGGCCAAGGGGGAAUAGGAACUGCAAGGAGCAAUGGCUCACACAUGGAGCUGCUGUACACACAGCAAAGAUGGCCUCGGAUCUACAAAAUGAAAGGUAGAUCAAAUCUGUUGGAAAUUCAAAUUAAAAGUCAUGUGAUCUGUCCAUGUGAUGCUAACCUUUCUUUACAGAUUGUUUCCAGCAAAAUAUAAUCAUCAUUGCUCCUUCAUUAUUCAGCCGAAUGGUGAUGAAAGACAGCAAGUGUGCUCCCAUGUGAUGUGCUAGCAGGAAGACAGCAGUGUGCUGCCAUGUGCUAGUCGAAUCUGUGUUAUUUGCAGCUGGAAAGACAGCUGCUGUGUGCUAGCCGAAUGUAGACAACCUGGAAUACAUUUGUUCUUUUCAUUUUCACGUUCCCAUGUGUUAAAGACAGCAGAUAUGCUGCUGUCUGUGUGCUGUCAUUUGAUGGUGUAAAGGUGUAGGUUGUCUUGUAUUUAAGGAAGCCUCUCGUAAGGCUUCAGUGUGCAUGAGAAAAAUCCCAUCUGAUUUGUCAUUCAGUUCUAGAAGUGUAUUUGCAAUCUGUUUUUAAUAUCAAAGUGCCUUGUUUCCCAAAGCUUGUAGCUUCACUCAUUUCUCUAUUUUUGUCCAAUUUUAUUGAGAGUGAAAGUGAGAGGUGUGAUAGAGUUUGUAAACUUAUCACCCACAUAUUUUGGUAUUAAGUUAGUAAUCUUCUCAAUACCAACAGUUGGUAUCAGAGCCAGAAUACCAUUCUGGCAGGUGCAGCAGUUAUGGCAUCCAACUUAGUGCAGCUCCAAGUUCCCACAUUGAAGAAAGAAAAUUAUGAAAGAUGGUGCAUCCAAUUCAAAGCAUUGUUUGGAUCACAAGAGCUAUGGGAAGUUGUCAGUAAUGGGUAUGUUGUACCCACUACCGAGCAAGAAGCCACAUAUACUGCAGAUCAAAGGAACACUCUCAAGGAUUUACGAAAGAAGGACCAGAAGGCGUUGUAUCUUCUCUAUCAAGGAUUAGAAGAUUCAACGUUCGAGAAGGUUGCAGAAGCAACAACGAGCAAGCAAGUAUGGGACACACUCAGUACAAUCUACAAAGGAGUAGAUCGAGUCAAGAAAGUGAGGUUACAGUCACUUCGAGCAGAUUUUGAAACUGCUCACAUGAAUGAAGGGGAAAGCAUCUCCGACUAUCACUCAAGGCUCAUUGUGAUAGUAAAUCAGAUGAGGAGAAAUGGCGAGAGACUCGAUGAAGUACGAGUUGUGGAGAAGAUACUCCGGUCACUCACAUCUAAGUUUGAGCAUGUGGUGACUGCCAUUGAGGAAUCCAAGAAUUUGGAGGCGAUGAGCGCAGAGGAGCUACUAGGAUCCCUCCUAGUUCACGAGCAACGCAUUCAGAAGAAUGCAAGCCCCACAACACUAGAGCAAGCUUUGGAGUCAAAAUUGAAAAUUGACAAACCAAAUAAAGGUCGUGGUCAGUGGAACUCACGUCGUGGGAGUUCAUCCAACCGUAGCCGAGGACGAGCCAGAGGAAGAGGUCGAGGCUAUGAACAAAACCGAGGUCAAUCUCAAGAGUGGAGAUCUACCCGAGGAAAGGCGCAUAUCCAAUGUCACACUUGCAAGCAAUAUGGACAUUAUGCCAAUGAAUGUUCACAUAAAAAUGGUGAGCAUGUCAACAUGGCAGAAUCAAGUGGAAAUACUGAUGAAGAACUUACAGUCUUGCUAGCACACCAUGAUUCCAGUAGCCAACAAGAUGUUUGGUAUUUGGACUCUGGUGCAAGCAAUCACAUGUGUGGAAAGAAGGAGUUUUUUGCCGAACUCAAAGAUGGGGCCUAUGGAUCUGUAAGUCUUGGUGACUCCUCAAAGUUGCCAGUUGAAGGCAAACAGAAGAUCAAGAUCAUCCAGAAGGAUGGUAGAGAAGAAUACAUCUCCGAUACCUACUACAUACCAGGUAUGAAGAGCAACAUUCUGAGCAUUGGUCAACUGCUCCAGAAAAGGUAUAUUAUACAUAUGGAGGAUAUGUUUCUCACUAUCAGGAAUGCAAGGAGAAAACUUAUUGCACGUGUUCAAAUGUCAAAGAACCGAAUGUUCCCGUUGAAGUUGAACACAAAGAUUGGGAGUUGCAACAUCGGUGUAAUGGAAGAUGAGUCAUGGAAAUGGCAUCUUCGAUUUGGCCAUCUUCAUUUCAAUGGCCUAAAGUUGCUGUCAAGUGGAGGAAUGGUUCGUGGUCUACCCCAAAUUGAAGCCACACGCCAAGUAUGUGAAGGUUGUGUGCUUGGCAAGCAAGCACGACUAUCGUUCCCUGUUGGUGAUACAUGGAGAGCAAAGGCACCACUGCAGUUGGUGCACACAAAUAUGUGGUCCAUUGGAUCCCAUGUCUUAUGGAGGUAAUAGGUAUUUUAUUACUUUCAUUGAUGAUUUUAGUAGGAAGACUUGGGUUUAUUUUCUCAAGGAGAAGUCGGCUGCCCUAAGAAUCUUCAAGGAGUUCAAGGCACUCACAGAGGCUGAAAGCAACCACAAGCUUGUGGCUGUGAGAUCAGAUAGAGGUGGAGAGUACACCUCCAAUGCUUUCCAAGCAUACUGCAAGGAGCAAUGAAUUAGGCAUCAACUGACUGCUGCCUAUACCCCACAGCAAAAUGGGAUAGCCGAAAGAAAGAAUCGAACCAUCCUUGACAUGACAAGGUCCAUGCUUAAGGAGAAGAAUUUGCCAAAAGAAUUAUGGGCAGAAGCUGUAGCUUGUUCAAUUUAUUUGUUGAAUCGAUGUCCAACAAAAAGUGUCAAGAGGAUGACACCACAAGAAACUUGGAGUGGAUACAAGCCGAGUGUUGCACACCUAAGAGUUUUUGGGUGUGUUGCAUAUGCUCAAGUUCCAGAAGCCAAGAGAAGGAAGCUUGAUGAUCGAGGUGAAAAGUGUGUGUUUGUGGGCUAUAGUGAAGAGUCCAAGGCAUACAAGCUCUACAACCCACUAACUGGCAAGCUAGUGGUUAGUAGAGAUGUCAUCUUCAGUGAGGAAGAGGCAUGGAAGUGGAACAACAAAGAAGUCAGUAAAGAGAAGAUCGUCUCCACUAAUUUUGAAGAACCAGAAGUUGUACCACCUGUUGAGCAACAACCUGCUCAAACAACCACAACAACUCCAUUGCACAGAACUGCAAGGAGUGGUCCUACAUCUAGUGAAGAAAGCAGCUCUUCAACUCCAGUGAGACUAAGAAGUCUCACCGAGAUAUAUGGACAAGAAGAAGAAGAAGAAACCAACCUUUUCUGCUUGUAUGCAGACCACGAGCCUCUCUCAUUCAAUGAAGCUGUGGAAGAAGAUCGUUGGAGAAUAGCCAUGGAGGAAGAAAUCCAUGCCAUCGAGAAGAAUGACACUUGGGAGUUGACAAAGCUCCCACCAAAUCAGAAGGCAAUUGGUGUCAAGUGGGUGUACAAGAUCAAACGCAUUGCAGAUGGGAGUGUGGAUCGGUACAAAUCAAGGCUUGUAGCAAAGGGCUACAAACAGAAGUAUGGAGUGGACUAUGAUGAAGUCUAUGCUCUAGUUGCAAGACUUGACACGGUAAGAUUACUAAUCUCUCUUGCCGCUCAUCAUAAAUGGAAAAUUUAUCAACUAGAUGUCAAGUCAGCCUUCCUUAAUGGAGUUCUUGAGGAAGAAGUGUACGUGGAACAACCGGAAGGCUUCCAAGUACAAGGAGAAGAAGAAAAGGUGUAUCGUUUGAAGAAGGCUUUGUAUGGCCUCAAGCAAGCACCACGAGCUUGGAACUCAAGGAUUGAUAACUACCUUCACCAAAAUGGAUUUCAGAAAUGUCCAUACGAGCAUUCAGUUUACAUGAAGAAUGGUGCAAAAGGGGAGUUCUUAAUUAUUUGUCUCUAUGUAGAUGACUUGUUAUUUACAGGAAACAAUGAAGCAAUGUUCUGUGAGUUCAAGCAAUCCAUGUUCAGUGAAUUCGAGAUGACUGACAAUGGAUUAAUGUCAUACUUUCUUGGCAUAGAGGUGAAGCAAGAAAGUGACGGUAUCUACAUCUCUCAACAAAAGUACAUGAGAGAUAUAUUGGAGAAAUUCAAUAUGGAUAAGUGCAAUAUUGUCAACACUCCAGUUGCAACUGGAUUGAAGCUGUCCAAGGAAGGAGAAGGUGAGUUUGUAAACUCAACCGUGUACAAAAGCUUGGUUGGAAGUCUAAGGUACCUUACAAUCACAAGACCUGAUAUAGUUUAUGGUGUUGGACUCGUGAGUCGGUACAUGGAAAUACCAAGGGAGUCUCAUUGGGUGGCUGCCAAGAGAAUCUUGAGGUACAUAAGAGGUACUCUAAACUAUGGUCUGUUUUAUAAUUUUGGUGAAGAUGCAAAAUUAUUUGGUUAUUCAGAUAGUGAUUGGGGAGGUGACCAAGAUGAAAGGAAAAGCACAACUGGCUAUGUGUUUUUUCUAGGAUCAACAGCUUUCUCAUGGACUUCAAAGAAGCAAUCAAUUGUUGCUUUGUCAUCAUGUGAAGCCGAGUAUGUUGCUGUAGCCUCAACAGUAUGUGAAGCAAUUUGGUUAAGAAAUCUAUUGAAGUCAGUGUGUCAUCCACAAGUGGAAUCGAUUGUGAUUCAUGUGGAUAACAUGUCUGCAAUCAAGCUUGCAAAGAAUCCUGUUCAACAUGGAAGGAGCAAGCACAUUGAUACCAGGUUCCAUUUUCUAAGGGACCAUGUGAAGCAAAAGACAAUUGAGCUUGUCUAUUGUCACACGAAGGAACAAGUGGCAGACAUCUUCACUAAGCCAUUACCAGUUGAAUCAUUCCGGCUGUUACGUGAAAUGCUAGGCAUGAAGGCGUUUUAAUUUGAGGGGCAUGUUGGAAAUUCAAAUUAAAAGUCAUGUGAUCUGUCCAUGUGAUGCUAACCUUUCUUUACAGAUUGUUUCCAGCAAAAUAUAAUCAUCAUUGCUCCUUCAUUAUUCAGCCGAAUGGUGAUGAAAGACAGCAAGUGUGCUGCCAUGUGAUGUGCUAGCAGGAAGACAGCAGUGUGCUGCCAUGUGCUAGUCGAAUCUGUGUUAUUUGCAGCUGGAAAGACAGCUGCUGUGUGCUAGCCGAAUGUAGACAACCUGGAAUACAUUUGGUCUUUUCAUUUUCACGUUCCCAUGUGUUAAAGACAGCAGAUAUGCUGCUGUCUGUGUGCUGUCAUUUGAUGGUGUAAAGGUGUAGGUUGUCUUGUAUUUAAGGAAGCCUCUCGUAAGGCUUCAGUGUGCAUGAGAAAAAUCCCAUCUGAUUUGUCAUUCAGUUCUAGAAGUGUAUUUGCAAUCUGUUUUUAAUAUCAAAGUGCCUUGUUUCCCAAAGCUUGUAGCUUCCCUCAUUUCUCUAUUUUGGUCCAAUUUUAUUGAGAGUGAAAGUGAGAGGUAUGAUAGAGUUUGUAAACUUAUCACCCACAUAUUUUGGUAUUGAGUUAGUAAUCUUCUCAAUACCAACAAAAUCCCUCCACUGCGUUAAAAUUAAGCAUGGUUUAGUAUCUCUGAAAAUCAUACGGAUUUGUGAAAUGUUUCUAUCAUGCAUUCGUACACCUAAAAAUUUCGUCAAUGCUCAUGUAAUUUUCUGUGUGGUUGCAUGCCUCCAUGUGACAAAUAUUGAGCAAAAACUGUGCAUGAUACUGGAUCUGUGACAUGGCUUUGAUGAAUGUCCACCUCUGUGUUGCCUGGACCACCCCCAAACUUAUACGUAAAACAAUAUUUUAAUGAAAUAUGAGAGUGAGUGAGCGAAAGGGAUUUCCAAGCAACACAGGGAUCUUCCCCGCAAUCCCCACUUUAAGUAUGACUGAACUCAGCCUCAAAUUCUUUUCUGCAUUCGUGUAGAUGAUGAAUGCUCAGAUAAAUGUUGAUGAAUGGAUGACCGAUGAAUGCAUAGUUUUGUAUCUUUAUUGUUUCGUUUAUAGAAGAGUAAGGUUUAUGUCUCCCAUCUUUUUCAUGUAUUUUUUGUUCUUUUUUCUUGUAUUACAAGGAGUUAGGUUUAUGUCCCCUGACUAGGUGUAACUUAUUUUUUGUUAUUAAUAAAAUUUCCCUCAUACCGUUGAGGUUUUAUGAAAAAAUAAAAUAAAAUAAGCAAUAAACUACUAUGGAACGCUUCCCAUUUUCAACCAGGGAUAAACCUUUCAACAUAGAGCAGAGAAUUCUAACAUAGGUUUGAAAUUUGAUGAAUACUUUCCACAACUUUGUUUUUUAAUUUUAAUUUUUAAUUCUUUCAGAGUGUUCGUCCUGUAAUGUUUGGCAAAGCUAGAAUGUCAUUGUUCAAGCAUAAUUCGAUGCAAAUAAGUUUGUUUGGCAAGCCUUGAUCAACUAGCCAUUUAUACUACAUUUUUUAUCUAACAAAUACGAGAACGCUUUCACAAAUCAUCAAUACUAUUACAUGCUAUACCACAUAUUAACAACAAGCUUCUAUUCACAUAUGCCAUUUGCUCGAAGUUUGUUUCUGAUCCGACACAUAUGUACCACAGCAUCACAGAUGUUCAAUCUUUCUCUAGGCACCUCCGCUGAGCAAGCAACACCAACUUCUAUUACAGAGAUUAAACUUUCUAUGAUUAGGACGUGAUUCCUUGCCCUCCCCUCAUUAGGAUGAUUGCUCUCUUGAACAAGAACGGGAUCCAAAACCUCUUCCACUUGCUCAGGCAGAGCUGCCUUCACAAAGCUAUAAAGGUUUGAAGUUCCCUGAAACAUGUCAUUAGUCGGUCUUUUUCCUGUAAAUAUUUCCAACAGGAGGAUGCCAAAGCUAUACACAUCACCUUGUGUCCACACUUCAUGCCCCAUGCCAUAUUCUGCAUUCCACAAUUCAGAACAUUAGAUUCUAAUUUUCUAGUGAAGUGCUAAAAGCUCAUUUCAUAUUUGAAAAUAUUAAAAUAAAUACUACAUAAUUUUAAAAUACUAGCUAGGAAAAAAAUAAACUACUAGGUGUAUAUACCUGGAGGAGCAUAACCAAUAGUUCCCUUGAUCCCUAAGGAACUUGACUGAUUUCCCAAAGAAUUUUCAGCAACUUUUGGUAAGAACCUCACCAACCCGAAGUCACCUACAUGUGCAAUCAUGUCCUCAUUGAGAAGAAUAUUGCUGGGUUUGAGGUCACAAUGAACUAUUGGUGUCUCACAAUGAUUAUGGAGAUAAUCCAAUGCCAUAGCAACAUCAAUAACAAUAUUCAACCUCUGAGAAAUUGUUAAGCUCCUUGGCCUUUCAUUUGUCUCACCAAUUGUAUGAAUUGGAUACAGCCAUUCCUCCAAGCUCCCAUUAACCAUGAACUCGUAAAUUAAGGCCUUGAAGUCGUGGCUGUGAUAAUCAAAACCAGAACAUGCCGAGAGUACCUUGACAAGAUUACGGUGUCUAAUAUUUUUGAAAGCCUCGCACUCAGCAAUAAAACUUUUGUAAGCUCCGUGACGAACUAGGUUGAGUACCUUGAUGGCAAUUGUAGUUUCUCCUUGCUCAAGUACUCCUUUAUAAACGGACCCAAAACUGCCCAUACCGACCAAGUUGGUUGAGGAGAAUCCAUUUGUUGCUUUAAGAAGACUUUGGUAAGACACCUGGGGAAAUUUGUCCGAAUCACUUGCAGCGCGAUCCUUUUUGUCCCUCCGUGAGCAAUAAAGGUACAAAUAGGUUAGUGCAAAAAUGACUCCAAGAAUCCCACAAACGAGGGAGAGAACCAAUUUUAUGGUUAAGCUCAAUCCUUCCUUUUUUGCAUGCUGGAGUUUGCACUUUGGCAAAUGAAACUCAGGUAUGCCCCCACAAAGCUUACUAUUUCCUUCAACUGAUGUCGCCGUUGCAUUCUUGAACACUCCUUUGAUCGGCACCAUGCCCUCAAAAUUAUUAUAAGAUAGAUUCAAAGAUUGCAAAAGUUUAAAACUUUCUAAGAAUUCUGGAAUGGUGCCUGACAAGUUGUUGUGAGAAAGAAACAAUUCUGAAAGACCUCUUAGUGAACUCAAAGUUGAUGGAAUCGUCCCAUGGAAGAAAUUUCCAUGCAUGUAUAGGUACUCUAAUGUUAUACAGCUAGCAAGACUUGCUGGAAUUUCACCUAGUAACAUGUUUUCAGAAAUAUCUAAAUACUGAAGAUUUAUUAAAAUUCCUAUGUUCUCUGGCAG